ACUAAACAGCUAGCUCUACCCAAAAUGAUCAAGCCAACAAUGUUAGUCAACCCAUCAAGAACUGACCCCACCAAUCAAACCAUUUGACCACCCCAGUAUGGGCGACAGAAAAGGACCAACGAAGCUAUAGACAAAGUACCGCAAGGGAACGCUGAAAGAGAGCUGAAAUAGCACCCCAAAGUACGUAGAAGCAGAGGCUAGGCCU
RNAcentral lists this ribosomal RNA (205 nucleotides) under Sardinella melanura (blacktip sardinella). RNAcentral describes it as "partial 16S ribosomal RNA". Lineage: Eukaryota; Metazoa; Chordata; Actinopteri; Clupeiformes; Clupeidae. The record is from RNAcentral.